This 235-nucleotide long non-coding RNA is filed under the name Marmota monax (woodchuck). Lineage: Eukaryota; Metazoa; Chordata; Mammalia; Rodentia; Sciuridae. The record is from RNAcentral.
CUUAAAAUAACCCUUUUUACUCUAAACUUUUAAAUUUGGAUUCAUCAGGACUUAGUGCUGCAGAAAGGCACAUGUAUCCAAAAAAUGUACAUAAGCCUAAGGUACUUUGGAAAGAUAUUCUAACAGGACAAUGGAAAGGUCCUGACCCAGUGAUUGUCUGGAGUCGGGGUUUUGUUUGUGUGUUUCCACAGGAAGAACAGCAGACGAUUUGGAUUCCAGAGAGAUUAACUAAAAC